GGUCGCGCCCCAAAAGGGUGAGGAAAGUCCGGACUCCGCAGGGCAGGGGAUCCGGCCGUCAAGGCCGGAAGCGUGGUGGCAAACGCCACGUAUGGCAAGCGCAGCAGAAAGGAUACCGCCUCCUUCGGGAGGCAAGGGUGAAAUGGCGGUGCAAGAGACCACCGGGAUCGUCGCGAAAGCAGAUCCGCAAGGCAAGCCCUCCCCGGAGCAAGAUCAAAUAGGGGGAUGAACGGACGGCCCGUCCGGCUCGCGCCCUUCAUUGGGCGCGAUCAAUCCCCGGGUUGAUUGCUUAGAUGAAUGAUCGGAGUUCUCCUUCGGGAGGAUGAACAGAAUCCGGCUUAUUCGCCG
RNAcentral lists this RNase P RNA (348 nucleotides) under bovine gut metagenome. Its description in RNAcentral is "Bacterial RNase P class A". It matches the Rfam family "Bacterial RNase P class A". From Rfam's summary of the family: Ribonuclease P (RNase P) is a ubiquitous endoribonuclease, found in archaea, bacteria and eukarya as well as chloroplasts and mitochondria. Its best characterised activity is the generation of mature 5'-ends of tRNAs by cleaving the 5'-leader elements of precursor-tRNAs. Cellular RNase Ps are ribonucleoproteins. The record is from RNAcentral.